Salvia miltiorrhiza (redroot sage) is the source of this 1190-nucleotide long non-coding RNA. RefSeq lists it as uncharacterized. The record is from RefSeq and is a predicted model, not a curated record. The transcript is spliced from 3 exons. NCBI's taxonomy places the organism in Eukaryota, Viridiplantae, Streptophyta, Magnoliopsida, Lamiales, Lamiaceae.
AUAAGCUCCUAAAUAACUUUAAACAACUUAUAAGCUGCUCAGCCAAACAUCCUCUAAAUGAUGCGAACGUGAGCCUGAAAUCUCGAGCAAUGAACGCUUGAUAUUAUAAGCUAGCCAGUGUGGAAUUACAAAUGAAGAAUUCAACUUGAGAAGCUGAGCCUCAUGUUUAUGCCAACAAACGAAACAUAAGGACCAUGGGAAAUUGCAGCAAUUGAAUCAUUAAAGGAUCAUGACAAGAAAGCGUUGGACCAGAGUGGUUGAUCAACUGAUGUGGAUCAAUCAGAGGAUGCCAACACCGAGGUGACUGUUGAGACAGCUGGGAAUUCAAACAUUUUUGUAGAUUAUACUGUUUUGUGAUUCACUGGAACUUCUCUGGCCACACAUUUAUUUGCAAUUCAAGAGGGUCAGUUCAAGCAAUGACGUGCCUUCAGGAAAUUCUCUAUGUUUGGUGCAUUUUGCUUUUGUGUAAAAGUAGAUAUUACGUGCAGACCCUGAUUGGCUGAACGGGGACCUCCUUUCCAAACAGCAGAUGAUGCUAAAGGCUAUUGAUUCCUCAAUUGGUCUUUUCAAGUACGAGAACAUUCAUGCUUUAGGCUAAAGUAAACAAAUUUCCAAAGGCAUGCAUGCCCUAUAUAUAUUCCAUUUUCUUAAAAGUCCUGAUCUGCUAAAUAGUAAUUAAAAAAUAUGCGUCGCUAAUAUAUUAGAUAUUCUAUAGAAAUAAGUUUGAGAAACAAAAUAUCCCAAAAGAAGAAUUUGAUGAAUAAACACAGCCGCACUUGAGCAACAUUUUGAGCCUCAUCUCACAGUUGCUAGGUGUAUUUUGAAGUUUACUUCUUUACCUUAUGCACGUCUCUGCAAUUUUGCGAGAUCCAAAAGCUUCAUUGUAAUGUCCGAGAGAUGCUGAAUCUUUGAAAGCUUCACCAUUAAGUCUAAACUCUUUGAUCAGUGCAAGGAUUAGUUAGCAAUAGCAUAAAUUAUAUAUCUAUGACCAAUGUUCUGUACUUUUAUCUCUAUACAGUGAACUAAUUAGUGGAUUACUGUUGUAUCUAACUUAUGCUUUUAGACAGCUUGUUUUGGACUUUGGACUCUUGUUUAUUAGCAUACAUAGGCGUGCAAUGGAGUUCUGUAACAUACAUUGGUUCAUCUUGAAACAUGCAAUUGUUUUCAGCGUUAAAAUUUAUAAAAACUUU